This 465-nucleotide ribosomal RNA is filed under the name Vreelandella stevensii. RNAcentral's name for it is "partial 16S ribosomal RNA". It matches the Rfam family "Bacterial small subunit ribosomal RNA", at positions 338 to 795 of the family's 1533-position model. The record is from RNAcentral. Lineage: Bacteria; Pseudomonadati; Pseudomonadota; Gammaproteobacteria; Oceanospirillales; Halomonadaceae.
CCUACGGGUGGCAGCAGUGGGGAAUAUUGGACAAUGGGGGCAACCCUGAUCCAGCCAUGCCGCGUGUGUGAAGAAGGCCCUCGGGUUGUAAAGCACUUUCAGUGAGGAAGAACGCCUGGUGGUUAAUACCCAUCAGGAAAGACAUCACUCACAGAAGAAGCACCGGCUAACUCCGUGCCAGCAGCCGCGGUAAUACGGAGGGUGCGAGCGUUAAUCGGAAUUACUGGGCGUAAAGCGCGCGUAGGUGGCUUGAUAAGCCGGUUGUGAAAGCCCCGGGCUCAACCUGGGAACGGCAUCCGGAACUGUCAAGCUAGAGUGCAGGAGAGGAAGGUAGAAUUCCCGGUGUAGCGGUGAAAUGCGUAGAGCUCGGGAGGAAUAGCAGUGGCGAAGGCGGCCUUCUGGACUGACACUGACACUGAGGUGCGAAAGCGUGGGUAGCAAACAGGAUUAGAUACCCUGGUAGUC